Molecule: ribosomal RNA, 1320 nt
Filed under: Triticum aestivum (bread wheat)
Lineage: Eukaryota; Viridiplantae; Streptophyta; Magnoliopsida; Poales; Poaceae
Description: partial small subunit ribosomal RNA
Source: RNAcentral
AUGCGAAGGGAUUGGCAUCGCCUCUCUCUCCUUGAGGGAUUUGGAGGAGCUCUUGGGGCCCUACCUUGUCACUACCUUGGGUUACCGCUCUCACUUAGAAAGCCGAGAAGAAUUGAGAUACAGCCACUUCUGGAUAAGAUCGCUGGAUGCCUACGACCGUGGAAAGGAAAUUUCUUUACCAGACCUGGCCGACUGCUCCUAGUCAAUUUGGUCCUCACCUCUACGCUUACUUUCUACCUCACUGUGUUUGCACUGGAUACAUGGGCUGAGAAGCAAAUUGAUAAGCUGCGAAGAAAAUUCCUUUGGAAUGUUGAGGAUGAGGCAUAUGGUGGAAAAUGCUUGGUUAACUGGAAGCGCAUUUGUGCUCCAAAAUCAGUGGGGGGCCUUGGUAUCAAAGAGAUUGCAGCAUACAGCAGAGCCCUUCGUCUGCGGUGGCCAUGGUAUGAAUGGGACUGUGUCGAUCGCCCUUGGAAAGGCACCCCAACCCCAUGUGAUGACACUGAUCGCCAGCUAUUUGCUGCCUGCACUAGCAUCCAUCUGGGGAAUGGUAGGAAAGCGCGUUUCUGGACUGAUAGAUGGCUGAAUGGAUUGGCUCCGAUGGACAUUGCCCCUGCUUUGUACAAGUUGUCUCAUAGGAAGCUUCUGACUGUACGGGACGGCCUCCAUGAUAAUCAAUGGAUGGCUGGUUUGAUCAGGAUCAACGACGCUUUGACACUCGACUCUCUGCUGAAUCUUUGGAGGCUACAGCAGGUCCUUCUCACUGACUGGGAGGAUAAAAUUUCUUGGAUCCACACCUCGAAUGGAAGCUACAGCACCAAAUCCGCUUACAACAUUCAGUUCAUCACUCGAAUUGCAAUGCCGCUUGCACAGGUUUGGAAGAUCAAGGCUGAGCCUAAGAUCAGAUUCUUCAUCUGGACUUUGCUGCAAAACAGGUUAUGGACCGCUGAUCGCCUUGCGACUCGAGGAUGGUCACACAACGAUCGCUGCAACACCUGUGAUCAGCUAUCGGAGACUGCGCGGCACAUCUUGAUCGAUUGCCCUUUUGCAAAGGGGAUUUGGCAAUCCUUUCACUCUUCUCACCCCGAGGUUGCUUCUGUCCCCCUUGCUGCCACUUCUAUUCAAUCCUGGUGGAUGACUUCAACUAGAUGCAAGACCUUGCACGACAAUCUUCAUGCAUUUACUGUGGCGGCAUACAUUGCUUGGAAUAUUUGGAAUGAGAGAAACAGAAGGGUUUUCCAACAGAAGACGGCAAACGCGCCUGGAGUUCAUAGGAUGAUUAGAGAUGAGAUAGGCCUCUUUGCUGGGGCUUGGGAGUUUUAG